Molecule: long non-coding RNA, 1141 nt
Filed under: Malus domestica (apple)
Lineage: Eukaryota; Viridiplantae; Streptophyta; Magnoliopsida; Rosales; Rosaceae
Description: long non-coding RNA (MDOM_LNC000948)
Source: RNAcentral
CCAACAUUAUCAAUAUUUAGCUUUAAUUUUUAUGCUCCACAAGAUCCAUUAAUUAAAUCAUUUUAUACAUCAAAUAUUUAAUGACAAAAUUAAUAUUUACUAAAUUAUCAUGCAUCAAUUGGGCAAAUAUAUUUUUUGUACUAACGAAGAUGGAUAUAAUCGUUAACCAAUGGGGAAUCCGUUAUCCGGUAGGCAUGGUUAAUUUUUGUGGUUAUGAAGAUGGAUAUAGCAUUUCCGUUCCCAAACCGAUCCGUUGCCAUCCCUAAUUAAAAGAUAGUCUGCAACUAACAAGUGUACACUUUCUCUCAAUGCAUGCAUGUAACUGAAACCCUUUUAAGUUUACAUCUAUAGAUGUUUUACAACUUUUCUCAACGGUACAUUUCUUUCCUGCAAAUUUUUUGCUGUGAAUAUUCCAAGUGUUUGACUUACAGUUGCCAACAUUCUGCGAACCAAACUUAAAGAUCUUCCAAUCACAUUCGUUCAUCGUAUAUCGUGUGAUGAGAAAUUAUUGUAAUUUUUUUAUUUAAAAUUUAAUAUAAACGAUACCUGACAAAAACUAAUCGUACGAUGUAUGAUAAAUAUGUGUGAUUGGAAGAUCCGGCUAGAAUCCUCACAAAGAGGAUCCGGCUAGGAUCCUCUCUCAAGAGGACUGUCAAAGCUUUGUUUGUAAUAUAAUUAACAAUCAUGUCAUCCAUUGCUUAAUAAAAUAAUCAAAUUAACCACCAAUCUCUAAUAUAUUUGAAAAUAGCUAGGGCACAAUGUUCAACAUAAUACCUCUACGAUUAAUAUAAUAAGGUAUGUUCAAAUUAACCACCAAUAUUCUGUUAUGUUUGAAUAUAUAAUUAUAUGUAUAUAUAUGAGUCUGUUCUUUAGACAUCAACGUAAUAAGGUACUUUUGCUUUUUUGCAUUGUUCUAAAAAUCGGCCUAGGCGGCACUUAGGUGCUGGGUGGUAGAGCCCAGCCCUGAUUUUGGGCAAGGUGUUUGGAAAAAUCGGCUAAAAGCUAGUCAGCCCUAGGUGGCGCCUAGGUGGGCUAGGCAGGCCUAGGUAGCUCCUAGACGGAGAGCUAGGUGGCACCUAGGCGGUCCAUUGCGGUUGUUUUUUACCAUUUUUUUAUAUUAAUUGUGUGUUUUUUUCUUUUU